This 257-nucleotide long non-coding RNA is filed under the name Mytilus galloprovincialis (Mediterranean mussel). The record is from RNAcentral. Lineage: Eukaryota; Metazoa; Mollusca; Bivalvia; Mytilida; Mytilidae.
UGGACCGUGAAAUUGGGGUAAAAACUCUAAUUUGGCAUUAAAAUUAGAAAGAUCAUAUCAUAGGGGACAUGUGUACUAAGUUUGAAGUCGAUUGGACUUAAACUUCAUCAAAAACUACCUUGACCAAAAACUUUAACCUGAAGCGGGACAGACGGACGGACGAACGAACGAACGGACAGACGGACGGACGAACGAACGGACAGACGUACGGACGGACGGACGCACAGACCAGAAAACAUAAUGCCCCUCUACUUUCG